Non-coding RNA from Microcebus murinus (gray mouse lemur), 1069 nucleotides. The record is from RefSeq and is a predicted model, not a curated record. NCBI's taxonomy places the organism in Eukaryota, Metazoa, Chordata, Mammalia, Primates, Cheirogaleidae.
GGGUGUUGUGCGCCUGCGCGGACGUCGAUGGGCUACUGGGAGCCGCGGGGCGCUGGGUCGGGGCUGCGGCUGGGCCUAUCUUGGCCUCAGUUCUUUUAUGGGUUUUAUUAGGGGCGAGUCGGCGACCCGCCACUGCCAGCCGUGCGCCCCCCUCAGCGUCCUGCCUUGUCGCUUCCGCUUCGCCACACCUGGGCGGUCGCGGUGGAGAUGUCAGUAUAAGGCUAAGGAGGAGAGAUGCCCGUUCAAAAUGAGGCCACAGAGAUUUGGUAUUUUGUAAGCCCCAUAGUCCCAACAUUUUUGAAAAGGAAAAAUCAUUUACUGUUUUUGGUAAGCUGGCGCCGUAGGCCGAAUGAAAGUGCAGCUCAGUACCCACUCUGAAGAUAAGAAUUGAACAUGACUCCGGCCCCUGGCCCUGAUCUGGAGCUUCGAAUUUAAUUUAUCAAGCCUUCCUACCACCAACAAAGGGAAAAGCGUCCAUUAAAGGCAGUCUGACUCCUGGCGUGUACCCCCAGCUUUAGAAUAGUAGUCAUUGUUACUUCGAAAUACAUAAAUACUAACUUUCCUGCCAUCUAGCGCCUAUGUAACUGCUGGAACAAGUACCCAAGUCCUCAAUAUUCCUGGCAGCCUAAAGUACCAACUGAGAAACUCGUCACCAGUUUGCAAAGUGCAGCCGCAGAAGAGCCCUCUCCACCCGACUGACUUAGUCCUGCUGCCCUGAACAAACAGGCGCAAGCCAGUCCUCUGCCAGGGCCAUUUCUACUUUUCUUGACCUAACACUUCACCACCACUCUGUGUCCUCCCCAGACGCCUGCCUACCCCGCGUCUACUGCCCUUAGUUCUGUCUGUCCUCUCCCUGGCUUAGUCUCCACUUUUGUGAGGAGUUGGUUCUUGUUCAACCAGGCUGUAAGUUGCUAAGAGGUAGAAAUUUGUGCUUCUUUAGAUCCUCACAGUGUUUAAUGACAUCCUGGAAACAAAGUAGGCACUCAAUACUCUUUUAUUAUUUCGUUUUUUUAAAAAGGGAAUUGGUGAUAGGCCAUUUCCCUUCCUCUAUCUUGACAUGAUCCCAUGA